This 295-nucleotide ribosomal RNA is filed under the name uncultured soil bacterium. RNAcentral describes it as "partial 16S ribosomal RNA". It matches the Rfam family "Bacterial small subunit ribosomal RNA", at positions 26 to 321 of the family's 1533-position model. The record is from RNAcentral.
AGAUUGAACGCUGGCGGCAGGCCUAACACAUGCAAGUCGAGCGGCAGCACGGGUACUUGUACCUGGUGGCGAGCGGCGGACGGGUGAGUAAUGCCUAGGAAUCUGCCUGGUAGUGGGGGAUAACGCUCGGAAACGGACGCUAAUACCGCAUACGUCCUACGGGAGAAAGCAGGGGACCUUCGGGCCUUGCGCUAUCAGAUGAGCCUAGGUCGGAUUAGCUAGUUGGUGAGGUAAUGGCUCACCAAGGCGACGAUCCGUAACUGGUCUGAGAGGAUGAUCAGUCACACUGGAACUG